GUAGUCUCUAUGAUUUAUGUUUUCAGCCAUAUGAAGUAUGAGCUCACCCCAGGCCAGCAGCAGAGGAUCCACGCUCUGCCAAAUGCGGUUGGUUCGAUGCAAAAUUACAUUGGAUCUGUAAUCAAUGCUGGCGCUCUGAAUGCACCAGCAUUCACACAUGCACGCACAGGCUUCAUUCUCCCUUGCAGUGGGUAUGAAACUCUGCAUCUAGUCCACAUCUGGUUUAUAUCAUAGCCAGACCACCACCAUCCAUAUCUAUCAUGAGACGCACACAUACUGUAUAUACACACACACACUUCAAUCUCACUCAUUUUUAAUACCUCGUCAUGGGUGAAACACAGAAGCACUAUGUUGUACUUCAUCCUAACCGUCUUCACAUUAAUCCUCGGCGCUUAAACACACAGCAUCUCGCUUUGCCGUUCAAUGACGUCAGCAUUUAAGUGCAGACACACAUGCUAAUAGUGUCUGCAUGUGAGCGUGCAUGCAAACACUUAGUACUUUAAUUGCCUGCUUUGUGUUUUAUUGUAAAUGCUGGUGCUGGAGCUGGUGGGGGUCAGCGGCCUGCAGAAAAAAUAUGAGGUGUGUUAAGAUGAACACACUCUCACAAUGAGCCCCUUGUUUCCUCGGCAAUGUGUUCUCAGUUGCAAAGCAAUUAAAGACUAGUUUACUGGCGAGGGCUGCUCUUUUCUCUGCCCGUGACGCAAUCCUCCAGGUUUGCCCCGCUGAAGGCUGAGUGACGGGCAUGCACACACGCUGGCGAGCGAAAACACAGGCACAUGCGUGGAGAGAAUACACGUGGACUCAUUCAUACGCACAUUAUUUAAGCUUAGCCAGAGUUGGCAGAAGGUAAACACGCUACGUUAUUGCAGGACAAGGCGUGCACUGUAUGAGGCUCUUACUCAAGCACCCCUUACAAUAACCAUGCAUCUAUGAUUGACAGGAAACUUACUAUGAAGUCACACUCAUUAAUGUCUUGAUUUAUUGACACAGACCCCCAAAUUUAUACUUUAUUUAUGCAGCAAAAAACAGAAAUGCAAGAGUGUAGUAGUUCUUAAUUGCAGUUUCAACGUCUGCCUAUUUGACCUUUUUCCAAAGAUAAAGAAAAAAGAAAACAGCAAAAGAUUACGCUUACCAAGUCAAACUUCUCCCCCACUUCCUCUUCCUGAAAGACCUCAUUGUUCAUAUUUUUCUUUCAUUUCACUCUGCCCCGUGGGAUAAAAAACUCCUCUUGUGUUUCUCUUUUUUACACACAGUCUGAAAAGACAAAAAUAUGCACCCUGAAGUUGUGGUUGAAUAUUAAUAAAAUAAACCACGGAGCUUUCAAUAUUUAAGGCCUUACUGCGCUCCUCCUUCAAUGAUUAUUUACCGUGCGCUGAUGAAAUGACUCAUAAGUUUACACUGCAGCGAAAUAUCAGUCUAUAAGAACUAUGGAUCAUAUUAAUCGCCAUUCUUAAACAAUCAAAGAUUAAAUAGUGCUCACUGUUACAACAAAAGCAAAUCUCUGUGUUUGGGUAUGAGUAUGAGGCCAAAUAUUAUCACUUCUCCAUCUUCUGGUGUCCACAGCUUGGACUUGUAUGUACAGUAAAGGCUGAGACUACAGCACCAAAGCCAGUGUGUCUUAUGAUAGCACUGCAGGGUGUGUGAAUGGGCAUAACUUUCUCCAUAUGUGUGAGAAAUGGUCUUUACUAUUAUUUUCACUCUCUGAAGCAUCUCCAGCAGCAAAAAAAAAAGCAGGACUGAUUUUAUUUGAAGAGACUUGAAACAGAGUUCCACAGCAUUUGGCCCACUCAGGGUCAACGGGUUCAGCUUACUGUGGCUUAAGUGGGUGAUGGGGUGGAAGAAAUCUUGGUCAUAAUUUUUUUUUCGCUCUUUAUUUUUAUAGUUUGGGAUGAGAAGUUGGAAAAAGUGAGUACGGCUGUUCUCUCCCAUCACUUCAGAUCAGGUUAUCACACACGAAAAGGACAAUAAAUCAGUGUAGUAAAUUAUCCGUGCUUAACUUUCCUGCUUCUGUUAUCUUUUGGUAGAGGCUGAAACUCACAAUAGCAGCCUUGUGUUCUUGUGUUUGUUUUCUUUUUCCUCUGGCUUGAGGUGAAAACAACAGGAACGAGCCAAUCACUCUUACAACUUUGUGACGAUAUGUUUUUCCCACACACAUCAGGGGGUUGUUAAUGGUUCACGUGAGGCCAACACUUAAAGGGGUCAUAAACUCACAAUACUAAAGCCAUUAUUGCCUUUCCCUGCAAAUAUCCUCAAAUAUCAGUCAUCUGGCAGAGAAACUCGUCGGGUUUCAUUCCUCAAUCACUUCUUCUCCUUUGUUUCCAAAUGCACAUGGUGCAACACUGACAGUAAUCUCCCUCUCUGCUCCCUCCCCCUGCCCCUUUCUCCUUCAUCGCUCCAUCAUAAUGAAGGAAUUUAAUUCUCGAGGCCGACCAGUUUAGUUAUCCAGCCCCCAGCUUGGCUCCCUCUCUAAGCUGAUUCUGCGCUGGGUUAACUACAAUUGGUGCUGGUGUCACCACUCUCUGAAACACUCGGACACAGUCCAAAACAGCUCUUUACAAUAAAACCAGGCACUGGGAAUUACAAUAAGCUUUCACUCACUCCAAAGUAUCAAUGACCGGUGCCAACUGGUUCCUCCUGGCUCGUCUGUGUGAAAAACCCUCGAGUGAAAAGGUCUUUGGAGUGUCAGUCAAAAACAACUAAACUCUAAACACCCAGCCACUUAUUUCUUGCGCCCAGAGACAAGAGGAGCUUGAAUUGUUUAUGCUUUAUUGUCUCAUGGUGUAGUAGCAAGAGAAGCAAGUUCAGAAACCGAGGACUCAAAUAGGCCUACUCGGAGAAUAAAAACAUAACACUACAUGUGUGCGUUCCAGUUACCUCGGAAGUCGGAUGUUGGAGCUGGGAAUGACGUUACACCCAAGUUGACGGUGUUCCAGUAAACAAGUCGGAAAACAAAGAUGAACGCCCAGUGUUAGCCGUUGUUUGGUGUUGUUUACAAUUGUCAGCUGUUGUUAGUUAUUGUUAGCUGUACUAGUUGUAAACAACACAUAACACAGUGUUUUACUCUUACAAACACCAUAGCACCAUGUUCACAGGUAGACGUUGGGCGGUUCAACAUAUACCACUCAUUUAAUUUCUCAAAAACAAAACAAAAGUGCUAAUAAAUAAUACAUUAUGAGAGCUUUCACUGUUACUCUUUACUGUUGAUGCACUGCACUGCCAUCUUGGAUAACGACUUUGUUGUCCCAUUUUCCGAGUCAGAAAUCCAACUUCAGGGGGGCGUUCCAGAUGAAUUUCCGACUUGGAGCUCGGAAAUCCCGACUUCUGAGUAUAACUGGAGCGCAGCAAUACUUAACAAACCAAUGAUGACUGAAGUAGUGAUUUUUUUUUCAACACUGCAUUUGGUGCAUCAUACUUGCAUGUAAAACCCUUGGCAACCUUUGCCAUCACCAGGCAGUGAAAAGUGCUUUGAGCAGUCAGAAGAUUAGACACGCUCUGAACAGGUGCAGCCCAUUUACCAUCUUAAACUUUGAACUGGAGCGG
This 3540-nucleotide long non-coding RNA is filed under the name Xyrichtys novacula (pearly razorfish). Lineage: Eukaryota; Metazoa; Chordata; Actinopteri; Labriformes; Labridae. The record is from RNAcentral.